GCUGAUUCACCAUAGCUCAGCUGGUUAGAGAACAGUGCUGUUAAUGCCAAGGUUGCAGGUUCGAUCCCUGUAUGGGAUGGCUGCA
Molecule: non-coding RNA, 85 nt
Organism: Podarcis lilfordi (Lilford's wall lizard)
Lineage: Eukaryota; Metazoa; Chordata; Lepidosauria; Squamata; Lacertidae
Source: the annotation of a GenBank genome assembly